AUACAAAAACAAAACAGAACAAUUCAUCUGGCACUUCCUGAGCUUCUAUUAUGUGCCAGGCAUCUACAUUACAUAUAUGUGCUCAUUAAUCCACAGAGGAACCCUACCAGGUACUUUUAUAGAGGAGCAAACUGAAGCCUAGAGACAUUAAGGAACGUGUUCAAAGCCUCAGCUUAGUGCCUCUCCUGGCUAAGAAAAAACAAUGUCGGUGCAGAGAAGGGUAAUUGUUUUUUUUCCAAUAGCAGGAAUCCAACUCACGACUUUGUGCUUUCCAGGCAGGCGCUGUGCCGCUGAGCUAAAUCCCCAGCCCUGAGAAGGGUAAUUCUGGAUGUAAGAAAAAGCAGCAAAAUAAACCACACUGGGGAAAAUUUUCUAGUUAACAGCUGAGCAGGAGAAACUGCUUGUGCUUUUAAAAUAAUGCACUAGAGGGCGCUACAUACACGAACUGGCAACUGUAUUUUAACCACUGUGGGAACUGCAUUACAAUCAGUAAUGGACUCAAGCCAAAAACGCCCUCCAAGAGUAUGACGCAGUGCAUGAUAAUUGAGAAGCUGUAUUUCUAUCCCCUUAAUUAAAAAAACAAACCCUCAUGUUUUACAUUGGGCAAUUCAUAAUCUGUCUCUGCUUGAUACUGUUUGGUAUUCCAAGGGCCUUUCUUUGCUCUGCUUGCUGAGUGGCAAGGAGAAAGGGUAGGGCAACCUGGAUGAAAAAGAAACCUUUAAGAAUGGCUCUGAGACACUUUUAUUUCAUCUGGUAAAAUUUAUUUUGGCAAAGUAAAACAAGAAUAUGUUUUUUAAAAGCAAGCAAAGAAACCCAUAUCCAAGAGUUUAGAAUGAAAAGGAACAGCUCAUCCUCAACCUCACACAUUCCAGAGGUGACAUCUUUUAGCAUAACUCCAGCUACGUUUUUUGAUUUAUCAAAAUUACAUUAUUUUCCUCUGUGACAACUACGGAAGCAGAAUAUACAUUUAAACAAAGAACAUGAUUUUAAAAAAUAACUUUAUUGUUUUCCAUUAUCGUAUAACAUUUAAAAACAUAAAGAGAAUACAAUUCAUUACCCCAACAGCCAGAGGGAUUACUGUGAUACACAUACAUAUGCAAACACAAAAAUGUAACUUUUUUCUUAGAAAACUGCAUUACCUCCUGCACAUGUUAUUCCACUAUGGAUGGUGAUCACCCUUCCAUAUCACUAUAGUGUGUGUGGUGUUCAGGAUGAAACUGAGGGCCUCAAGCAUGUCAGGCAAGUGGUCUACCACUGAGCCAUACACUAGUUCUCAUUUCAUUUUUGUCUUAAAAUUUUAUUGUGGUGUUAAUUACACAAAGUACAUGCAUCUAGCCAGUUGCGGUGAUACCCAGCUACUUGAAGGUGAAACCAGAGGACCUCAAAUCCGGGGAGGGCCUAUGUAACUUUGCAACACCCUUUGUCAGAAUAAAAAAAUAAAAAGGGCUUGGAAUGUAGCUCAGGGGUAGAGUGCCUCUGGGUUCAAUUCCCCCACUGGGAAAGUAAGUAAAACUUAACCAAAGUGCUCUUCUAAUUUCUUUCAUCACAGAUUGUAUUGAGAUUAUAUUUUAAACUUUAUAUAUACACUUUCCCAUGUCAAUCUCAGAAAGAUGAGUGUUAAAUACUCUAAAAGUACAAGGAAUCUCAAGCUCUUGUACUGCUGUGGGAAUCUGGUAAUUUUACUCCACAAUAUGAAUUGUGGAAACCAAAUUAACAACACAGCCCAGAAGGGAAACGUUCUAAUUAUUCUUCAGUAUCUCAAGACUCAGUGGAUCAUCAAUGAAUCACAAGUUUGAAAUGUGCCAGUUUUUUAUUUGCAGAAGGCAAUUUCUUUUGUAUGUUUAAUGCAUUAUUGCCAUAUGAAUUAUCACAAGCACUGGCAGUUACUACAGUCAUUAGUGCAACUUUAAAAACACUGAUAACAGGAGCUGGAGAUACUGCUCAGUGGCACAGCGCCUGCCUGGCAAAUGCAAGGUCCUGAGUUUGAUUCUUGGUACGAAAGAAACAAACAAAUAAAAAAACCCUAAUAACAAAAAACUCCUAGCUGGGAAGUAUCACAAUCUGCUGCCUUGCAAAAUGCACUCAGAAAGAGGUUAGUCUACCUCUAUUUCUUUUGCUGUGAAAUAAAAACAACACUACCAAAAGUUGGCUUGUCUCUCACCCAAGUACAUUUGAGCACAAAGCCCUGUAAAGUGAGACAAUCGGGAUAAAAGGGGAAAUGUCCUUAGAAACUACCAGCCUGAAAGGCUGUUUGGCAGAUGCCAAGUGCUGUACCCUGAAGAUGUGUUAAAUACCCGCUCUCUGAUUACAGACAAGAGGCCAUUCCUAGUUCUCUCCCAGGGGUGUGGAGACUCAGAACUUUCCAGGUACUUUCCAUACCUAACCCAUCUAGGAACCUUAAGCAAAGGUGCUGGGUAAAUCCCCAUCGCUUUCCCUCUCUUUUCUGUUCCUUGGGUUAAACCCAGGGCGUCCUGCAGCUAAGCCUGGCUCCACCACUGGGCUAGGGGCCCAGUCCCCAUACUUCAGCCUCCCAGUCAGAGACUGUUGUAGGCUGGUGCAGUGAAUUCUGAAGAUUUUGCAGGCAUUAGCUGCACCCCCUGCCGAGUGCUGGGACCUGAACUCAGGGCCUCCGCACUUAGCUAUACGCCCCCUCGACAUUUACAUUUUUAAUAUUUUUCACAAUUUGGAGGCAGUCUGAGUUGCGAAAUUGCUGGCAUUAUAGACAAGUGCCACCAGCCGGGCUGCAUUAUGUCAUCUGACCAAUCAACCUGAUUUAACAGAUGAGAAGACAGAGGUUCGAAAUUUGUUAAUCUGCUAGGAGUGGUGAGGAGUUGGAAUCAAAUGCAGGCCAAUCUUACAACAGGGCUUUUAUUGCUCUUGCCUGCUAACGGAGCACCUUGAAAAUUACAUGGUCACUUCCUGCCAGUGAACAAGACAAUGCACAGACUGCCCACCUGCAGCAGUUUCGGGAAUAGCAGCUGCGCCGGCUCCCCGCAGACCCACUGUUUCAGGGCAGGAAGUUGCAGUGGCACUGAAUUGCUUUUCGGGAGCAAACAGGACGCGGAAAGGAUUAAGAUGAAAGGGCGGUAAGAACCUGAACACAGAGAAGGCUAGUCCUGGGGCCAGGUGGGCGCAGCCCUCGGACCCCCACCGACUGGAUCUGAUCAGUUUAAUUCUGGCCUGGGGGUUCCGCACAAGGCGCUUCCGGCCUCAGGAGACCUGGGUCAAGAUUUACAGGGCUCGGCCCACUGACUGCCAACCUCUUCCGGCACGGCCACUGUCCCCUAGACUGCACCAGGCCUCCAGCACAUAUCUCGCUCUUCUGGAGGGAGCAAAAGUCUGGUCAGCUUGAAAGCGUUCAGGGGUACAAAACCGCAUCCACCAAGUGCAAGCCCCACCGGUUCCCCCAGGGCAGAGCCGCCCGGCUUGGGGUGGUCCUUCAGGGCACCCUGCACACCAGCUGGGUUCAAAGGGGCUGCCUGCUGUUUCUCACUACGGAAACGUCCCUCCCUGUGGCUUUCCACCUCUGGCCACUUUAGUUCAGCAGUUCUCCAAGAUAACUGAGGAAAGAGGUCAUCCCAGCUGGAAGCUGAAGUAACAUUCCUCUUAAACAAGGGGCAGGAAUACCAUUACUUCCAAGCUUCACUACACGUCCACCCUGUCUCAGAAGCUUCAACAGCUUACCAGGGACUCCUAACCGAGUGUACCCACAGCACUCAUUACGUAACAAUCCCCAAACGUUCCGUUCUCAAGGGAGCCUCAGGCUUCAAAGGCCGUCAAGAAUCCCUGCCCAUGGGGGGGCAAUGGAAGCAGCUGGGAACUCACUCAUGUAAAGGUCAUGAAGGUUAUUUUCUGGGAACCAAGGAAGCUUCUUGUCUCUGCCAGUAAGAAUGACUACACUUGAACACAUCCUGGAUUCUCCUCAUUUCCAUUCUUUUUUAAGAUCAUUCCCACCCCCCAAAAAGGAUGAUUUUUCCAGUUAUGGAUGGGUUCACAGGAUGCAACUUGAAAGAAGCCCAUGGCUAACAACUGGAAACUAUUUUAUAACUUGGAACAUCUUUAUACUUUAACUUGAAUAAAGUAAUAAAACUAG
Long non-coding RNA from Chinchilla lanigera (long-tailed chinchilla), 4093 nucleotides. RefSeq lists it as uncharacterized. The record is from RefSeq and is a predicted model, not a curated record. The transcript is spliced from 2 exons. NCBI's taxonomy places the organism in Eukaryota, Metazoa, Chordata, Mammalia, Rodentia, Chinchillidae.